GAUUCUAAUAAAGUUUCUAUGAGUUUCUUAAGAUCCAAUUGACAAUUUUAACAACAAUUUCUUACGUAAACGUAUUAUCGGUGGCACGGUGUGUAUGCCAUCACCCUCUUCUCGGAAUUGGAUUUUUAACAUUGCAAUAAACUUUAUUACUGGCGGUUCAAGGAAGUUUUGUAAGCAAUGGUUGAUGGUGAGGAUAUUGAAAGUUCCAUGGACAAACAAUUCAACGAUAAUGACGGAGGUAAACCGGAUAAAAUGUUUACGUUGAAGAAGUGGAAUGCUGUGGCUAUGUGGAGCUGGGAUGUUGAGUGCGACACUUGCGCUAUUUGCAGAGUUCAAGUAAUGGCUGAGUGACUACCUUUUCUACUGUUAUUGUAUGUUAUACAAAGCUCCGUAAAGAGUUUUUAAUACAUUAUCCGGAAUCAGUUCAAAGAAUUGUGUUAAUAGUAAAUUGUACAUUGUGCCUUGCUGUUAAGAAGAGCUCCACUUGAA
This is a long non-coding RNA of Bactrocera neohumeralis, 489 nucleotides long. RefSeq lists it as uncharacterized. Lineage: Eukaryota; Metazoa; Arthropoda; Insecta; Diptera; Tephritidae. The transcript is spliced from 2 exons. The record is from RefSeq and is a predicted model, not a curated record.